RNAcentral lists this ribosomal RNA (458 nucleotides) under uncultured bacterium. RNAcentral describes it as "SSU rRNA". It matches the Rfam family "Bacterial small subunit ribosomal RNA", at positions 26 to 518 of the family's 1533-position model. The record is from RNAcentral.
AGAAUCAACGCUGGCGGCGUGCCUAACACAUGCAAGUCGAACGAGAAAGUGGAGCAAUCCAUGAGUAAAGUGGCGCACGGGUGAGUAACACGUGACUAACCUACCCUUGAGUGGGGGAUAACCUAGAGAAAUCUGGGCUAAUACCGCAUAAUACCUUCGGGUCAAAGGAGCAAUUCGCUUAAGGAGGGGGUCGCGGCCGAUUAGUUAGUUGGCGGGGUAAUGGCCCACCAAGACUGUGAUCGGUAUCCGGCCUGAGAGGGCGCACGGACACACUGGAACUGAAACACGGUCCAGACUCCUACGGGAGGCAGCAGUGGGAAUUUUGCGCAAUGGGGGAAACCCUGACGCAGCAACGCCGCGUGGAGGAUGAAGCCCCUUGGGGCGUAAACUCCUUUCGAUCGGGAAGAUAAUGACGGUACCGAGAGAAGAGCCCCGGCUAACUUCGCGCCAGCAGCCGC